AGUGAACGCUGGCGGCAGGCCUAACACAUGCAAGUCGAACGGCAGCACGGCAGUAGCAAUACUGUGGGUGGCGAGUGGCGGACGGGUGAGGAAUACAUGGGAAUCUACCCUGUCGUGGGGGAUAACGUAGGGAAACUUACGCUAAUACCGCAUACGACCGAGAGGUGAAAGCGGCGGACCGCAAGGCGUCGCGGGAAUGGAUGAGCCAAUGUCGGAUUAGCGAGGUGGCGGGGGAAAGGCCCACCAAGGCGACGAUCCGUAGCUGGUCUGAGAGGAUGAUCAGCCACACUGGAACUGAGACACGGUCCAGACUCCUACGGGAGGCAGCAGUGGGGAAUAUUGGACAAUGGGCGCAAGCCUGAUCCAGCCAUGCCGCGUGAGUGAAGAAGGCCUUCGGGUUGUAAAGCUCUUUUGUCCGGAAAGAAAAGCUCUCGGUUAAUACCCGGGGGUGAUGACGGUACCGGAAGAAUAAGCACCGGCUAACUUCGUGCCAGCCGCCGCCGUAA
This 506-nucleotide ribosomal RNA is filed under the name uncultured bacterium. RNAcentral's name for it is "partial 16S ribosomal RNA". It matches the Rfam family "Bacterial small subunit ribosomal RNA", at positions 30 to 523 of the family's 1533-position model. The record is from RNAcentral.